UACGUAGGGGCCUAGCGUUGUCCGGAAUUAUUGGGCGUAAAGAGCUCGUAGGCGGUUCGGCAAGUCGGAUGUGAAAUCUCCACGCUUAACGUGGAGGGCCGUUCGAAACUGCUGUGACUCGAGUCCGGUAGGGGAGUGUGGAAUUCCCGGUGUAGCGGUGAAAUGCGCAGAUAUCGGGAGGAACACCAGUAGCGAAGGCGGCACUCUGGGCCGGUACUGACGCUGAGGAGCGAAAGCGUGGGAGCGAACGAG
Molecule: ribosomal RNA, 252 nt
Filed under: uncultured bacterium
Lineage: Bacteria
Description: partial 16S ribosomal RNA
Rfam family: Bacterial small subunit ribosomal RNA
Source: RNAcentral